GUUGGGUUUACGUUAAUGGAAUGUUAAAAUGAAAAGAGUUUUAUAUUUAAUAAAGAAAAUAGAAGAGAAAAUAAAUAUUUCUGCUGCGAGUCCGCAUAUCUUGCUGAUCUUCGAAACUGACAUUCGGCUUGGAAGCUUCCAUAAAUUCCAACAUAUAGGUGAACAUAUAGGUGAAGUGACGUAAUAUGGCGUCGCAUGUCAGAAGCAAGUUGACUUUAAGAAUUACCAUCUGUAUGGUGUGGAUUUUAUUACGACCAAGUGCAACAUGCUAGGGCUACGCAAGACUGUCUGGUUUGCACAGGCAGUACACUGCAGACUAGAAAACUGAACCAUUAACUGCAAAUGAGUCUGUGCAUCUUAAGAAGAAAAAGUUAUCUUUCUAUUUUCUGUGCAUCAUAAGAAGAAAAAGUUGACUUACAAAUGCUGAAUUACAUAAGCUGACCAGCUGGAAAUGUUUUAUCUGCUCAACCUACGGUAAAAACUAAAUCCUCACAGUCACACCACCUACUCCAUACACUUGACUGUGUGACACCAAUACUUUAAACCAGUUGAAUUGAAUAGUAGUUGAAUGAACAGAACGACUUAUCAAUACUUGAACGGAAUAAAAAAAAAAAAAAAAAAACGGCAAUUGCACUAAACCCAUAUUGACACGUCCAGGUUUGUGAACUUCACUACCUUUCGCCAUUUCAGCUUUUACUAUGUAUUGAUAGAUGCAGAACACUGUUUACAGAAUAAAGAGCCAAACCCAGAA
RNAcentral lists this long non-coding RNA (751 nucleotides) under Daphnia magna. RNAcentral describes it as "uncharacterized LOC116920835, transcript variant X1". The record is from RNAcentral. Lineage: Eukaryota; Metazoa; Arthropoda; Branchiopoda; Diplostraca; Daphniidae.